GGUUUCCUGCGCAACGUUAAUCGACGCAGGGUUAGUCGGUCCCUAAGGCGAGGCUGAAAAGCGUAGUCGAUGGAAAACAGGUUAAUAUUCCUGUACUUCUGGUUAUUGCGAUGGAGGGACGGAGAAGGCUAGGCCAGCUUGGCGUUGGUUGUCCAAGUUUAAGGUGGUAGGCUGAGAUCUUAGGUAAAUCCGGGAUCUCAAGGCCGAGAGCUGAUGACGAGUUGCCUUUAGGCGACGAAGUGGUUGAUGCCAUGCUUCCAAGAAAAGCUUCUAAGCUUCAGAUAACCAGGAACCGUACCCCAAACCGACACAGGUGGUUGGGUAGAGAAUACCAAGGCGCUUGAGAGAACUCGGGUGAAGGAACUAGGCAAAAUGGCACCGUAACUUCGGGAGAAGG
Molecule: ribosomal RNA, 397 nt
Filed under: Pseudomonas sp. H9
Lineage: Bacteria; Pseudomonadati; Pseudomonadota; Gammaproteobacteria; Pseudomonadales; Pseudomonadaceae
Description: partial 23S ribosomal RNA
Rfam family: Bacterial large subunit ribosomal RNA
Source: RNAcentral